GAUUGGCGCAGUGGUAGCGCAGGGGCUUUACACGCCUAAGGUCGGGGGUUCGAAUCCCUCAUCGCC
This 66-nucleotide transfer RNA is filed under the name Olsenella uli. It matches the Rfam family "tRNA", at positions 5 to 66 of the family's 71-position model. Rfam says of the family: Transfer RNA (tRNA) molecules are approximately 80 nucleotides in length. Their secondary structure includes four short double-helical elements and three loops (D, anti-codon, and T loops). Lineage: Bacteria; Bacillati; Actinomycetota; Coriobacteriia; Coriobacteriales; Atopobiaceae. RNAcentral also lists the same sequence under 1 other name. The record is from RNAcentral.